AUCAGUCUGAUGGAGCACGCCGCGUGAGUGAAGAAGGUUUUCGGAUCGCAAAGCUCUGUUGUUGGUGAAGAAGGAUAGAGGUAGUAACUGGCCUUUAUUUGACGGUAAUCAACCAGAAAGUCACGGCUAACUACGUGCCAGCAGCCGCGGUAAUACGUAGGUGGCAAGCGUUGUCCGGAUUUAUUGGGCGUAAAGCGAGCGCAGGCGGAAGAAUAAGUCUGAUGUGAAAGCCCUCGGCUUAACCGAGGAACUGCAUCGGAAACUGUUUUUCUUGAGUGCAGAAGAGGAGAGUGGAACUCCAUGUGUAGCGGUGGAAUGCGUAGAUAUAUGGAAGAACACCAGUGGCGAAGGCGGCUCUCUGGUCUGCAACUGACGCUGAGGCUCGAAAGCAUGGGUAGCGAACAGGAUUAGAUACC
Molecule: ribosomal RNA, 416 nt
Filed under: Lactobacillus crispatus
Lineage: Bacteria; Bacillati; Bacillota; Bacilli; Lactobacillales; Lactobacillaceae
Description: bacterial SSU rRNA
Rfam family: Bacterial small subunit ribosomal RNA
Source: RNAcentral